RNAcentral lists this ribosomal RNA (253 nucleotides) under uncultured bacterium. RNAcentral's name for it is "partial 16S ribosomal RNA". It matches the Rfam family "Bacterial small subunit ribosomal RNA", at positions 524 to 776 of the family's 1533-position model. The record is from RNAcentral.
GACGUAGGGCGCGAGCGUUGUCCGGAUUUAUUGGGCGUAAAGAGCUCGUAGGCGGCUUAUUGCGUCAGCUGUGAAAACCCGCAGCUCAACUGUGGGCUUGCAGCUGAUACGGGCAGGCUUGAGUUCGGUAGGGGAGACUGGAAUUCCUGGUGUAGCGGUGAAAUGCGCAGAUAUCAGGAGGAACACCGGUGGCGAAGGCGGGUCUCUGGGCCGAUACUGACGCUGAGGAGCGAAAGCGUGGGGAGCGAACAGG